CCCCUUGAGGUUAUGAGCGCCCAUAGGGAAGAUGUUGCCACUGUACGCAGUUGGGAGAAGAAGGACCUGGCACAUGAGGAAGCCAAGUAGUUGGAUCAGCCCUCUCCAUCAUGGCGUUUCCCACACCUCUGAUUGGACUGGAAACUCCCUGAAAGGAGGAAGCAAGUCAGAUUCACCUCUAGGUCCCUCCCAGGCCUGGAGAGGCUGGCAUGCUGUUGGCACUCACUGACUGCCUGGUGGCCGACUGGCUGGAUGGAAUGGUGACCUGUGACCAGUCUGUCUCUCUCCUCAGCUGAUCUGAGAGUUCCUGGAGGCCAGGGACUGUGUUUGCCUCACCUCGGCACCUCUGUGCCUGGGGCAGAGGAACUGCUCAACAAGUUCUGGUUGAACAAAUGGAGGGAACACUAAGAGCGAAUAAUUAUUAAGCGCUUACUGUGUGCGAGCAGCUGCUGUAAGCAAUGGACACUUUAUCUCAGUGAACCCUGCAGAGGGUUCCAAUGAGGGAAUGGAGCAGACCUGAUCUAACCAAGCUAGGGGUGGGGAGGUGCCCGGUGGUAGGUGCCAGCAGACAUGACAGGCACUCCCGCACAUGGCACCACAGCAAUGCUGUCAAGGUUGCCCGUGGAAUCUGAAAGCUGAAACACUCAUCUUUAUAUACAGAGUUGGCCAAAGCAAGACACCAGCAAAUCAGUUUACCCAAAAAUGUGCAAACAAGAUUU
RNAcentral lists this long non-coding RNA (719 nucleotides) under Homo sapiens (human). RNAcentral describes it as "non-protein coding HHATL-AS1:2". Lineage: Eukaryota; Metazoa; Chordata; Mammalia; Primates; Hominidae. The record is from RNAcentral.